RNAcentral lists this ribosomal RNA (500 nucleotides) under Candida tropicalis. RNAcentral describes it as "eukaryotic LSU rRNA". The stretch from base 143 to 296 matches the Rfam family "5.8S ribosomal RNA". Lineage: Eukaryota; Fungi; Ascomycota; Pichiomycetes; Serinales; Debaryomycetaceae. The record is from RNAcentral.
GAAAAAUGAUUGCUUAUUGCACCACAUGUGUUUUUUAUUGAACAAAUUUCUUUGGUGGCGGGAGCAAUCCUACCGCCAGAGGUUAUAACUAAACCAAACUUUUUAUUUACAGUCAAACUUGAUUUAUUAUUACAAUAGUCAAAACUUUCAACAACGGAUCUCUUGGUUCUCGCAUCGAUGAAGAACGCAGCGAAAUGCGAUACGUAAUAUGAAUUGCAGAUAUUCGUGAAUCAUCGAAUCUUUGAACGCACAUUGCGCCCUUUGGUAUUCCAAAGGGCAUGCCUGUUUGAGCGUCAUUUCUCCCUCAAACCCCCGGGUUUGGUGUUGAGCAAUACGCUAGGUUUGUUUGAAAGAAUUUAACGUGGAAACUUAUUUUAAGCGACUUAGGUUUAUCCAAAAACGCUUAUUUUGCUAGUGGCCACCACAAUUUAUUUCAUAACUUUGACCUCAAAUCAGGUAGGACUACCCGCUGAACUUAAGCAUAUCAAAAGCCGGAGGAA